CCAUCAUUUAAAGAAAGCGUAAUAGCUCACUGGUCGAGUCGGCCUGCGCGGAAGAUGUAACGGGGCUAAACCAUGCACCGAAGCUGCGGCAGCGACGCUUAUGCGUUGUUGGGUAGGGGAGCGUUCUGUAAGCCUGCGAAGGUGUGCUGUGAGGCAUGCUGGAGGUAUCAGAAGUGCGAAUGCUGACAUAAGUAACGAUAAAGCGGGUGAAAAGCCCGCUCGCCGGAAGACCAAGGGUUCCUGUCCAACGUUAAUCGGGGCAGGGUGAGUCGACCCCUAAGGCGAGGCCGAAAGGCGUAGUCGAUGGGAAACAGGUUAAUAUUCCUGUACUUGGUGUUACUGCGAAGGGGGGACGGAGAAGGCUAUGUUGGCCGGGCGACGGUUGUCCCGGUUUAAGCGUGUAGGCUGGUUUUCCAGGCAAAUCCGGAAAACUAAGGCUGAGGCGUGAUGACGAGGCACUACGGUGCUGAAGCAACAAAUGCCCUGCUUCCAGGAAAAGCCUCUAAGCAUCAGGUAACAUCAAAUCGUACCC
Molecule: ribosomal RNA, 532 nt
Filed under: Escherichia coli
Lineage: Bacteria; Pseudomonadati; Pseudomonadota; Gammaproteobacteria; Enterobacterales; Enterobacteriaceae
Description: partial 23S ribosomal RNA
Rfam family: Bacterial large subunit ribosomal RNA
Source: RNAcentral